RNAcentral lists this long non-coding RNA (15473 nucleotides) under Malus domestica (apple). RNAcentral's name for it is "long non-coding RNA (MDOM_LNC013105)". Lineage: Eukaryota; Viridiplantae; Streptophyta; Magnoliopsida; Rosales; Rosaceae. The record is from RNAcentral.
UCACUACAUGUGAAUAUAAGUUUGUAACGAUUAUGUGAAACUUCCUUACACUCUAGCAACGGAUUUAUGCAUGCCAAUUAAGUGUCGACCCUUAAUUAACAAAUAAAAAUAAGUUAUCAAUCAAAUAGUUAAGCCAAUUGCAUUCACGAUUCAAGAGUUCAUAACUGGAAUUUAUCAAAUCAUAUUACACACAUAAUCAUGGCUUUGAAAUCACCCAUAGCUAAGAGGGGUUUAGCCACUCAUAUUCACAACAAAACGAAAGAAAAUGAAUUUAAACAUUGGAAACAAAAGAAAGAAAACACCUAAACGCUCCAACGAUCCAAGUUGGACAGCAAGCACGUCCAAGCACUUUCCUUCCAUUCCUUUGCUACGACAUAAGGUGUUGGUGAGUGUUUGAAGGUUUGUUUGUAUGGAGGAAUGGAUGUGAAGAUGAAAUGGAUGUGUUUGGAUGAAGGUUGUAUUGAAAUGGGGAUGAAUGAUCAAGCAAAAACUAAACUAUAUGGCUACCACACACACUUCCUUUUAUAGAGGAAGUGCACGGCAAGGAGGGGAAAAAUGAUGGUGUGUGCAAUGAUUCAAGGGUGAAAAUGAAGUAAUGAUGCAAAGCAUGGGGGGUAAAAUGGAGUGGUGUUGCAGCAAUGAGUGCAUGGAGUGGUGUUUGAAAUGAUUCAAAGGUGAAAGUGAAGUGAUGAUACAAAGCAUGGGGGGUAAAAUGGAGUGGUGUUGCAGCUAUGAAUGCAAGUAGGGAACAUGAAUGAUUGUGCACAUGGUAGAGAAAGGAAAGGGAGGUGGAAUGGUGCAAAAAUGAGUCAAAGGUGCAGUAAGACUAAUGAUGCACAGCAUGAGAUUCCAAAGGUGGUGGAUGGUGCAUCAAUGAGUGCAUGUAGUGGAGGUAAAAGUUGUUUGAAAUCUGAUGGGUGAAGGGGACAAGAAUUGUACAACAAUUGAGUGCAAUGAUUCAAUGUUUUGAUGCAAGAAAUCAGAAAUAAUGAAGGAGACAAGGGUAGUGCACGGCAUGGGUGGAUAAUGAGUGUAAUGGUGUAUGAAAUGAGUGCAAGAAAUCUGGUGCAUGAAGGGGACAAGGGUGAUUAUGCAUGGCAUGGGUGGAAAGGUGAGUAAGUGGUGAAUCAAUGAGUGCAAGGAGGUGAAAGGAUAUUGUGCACAUGGUAGACAAAGGAAAGGAAGUGGAAUGGUGCAGCAAAUGAGUGCAAAUAGGGAACAUGGAUGAAUGUGCACAACAUGGAGUGAUUAAUGGCAGAAAAUAGGAAAGGAAUGGCUCCUUUGCACGGCAAGGAAGAGAAAUGGUGAAGGAUGGUAUGGCUUGGACUUUUAGGGCAGGUUUAGGACUUGUAGAAUAUGUAAUGAAAUGUCCCAAAGUAUUUAGGAACCCUUCGUGUGACUAAAUCUUUGGUAAUUUAGGAUUAGGAAAGGUAACGACAAGAUAAGGCAAGUUUGACUAGUCUUUCCUCAUUCUUAAUGGUUUCCUUGUCUUCCUUGGUCCUCAAUUUAUUUUCUUCCUUUCCUUGGCACAUUCCUAGCUUCUUUAGAUCCUUAAUUUCGUCCAACCACUUUGCUCCAUGCAUGUGAUAUCCAUUCCAUGCCCAAAACUGCUCCAAAAGGCACCAAAAUGCACUUCUUUGCCUCUUUAACCCUUUGUACCUACAACCACACGAAAAUGACUUGAAAUACUAAAUCAACUAAGAAAUAACAACAUAAAUGCACAAGAACAAGCUAACUAAGUCGCAUAAAUAUGCUCCUAUCAAAUUCCCCCACACUUAGCUUUUGCUAGUCCUCGAGCAAAACAAAAGAAACAAAAUGAAACAAAACAAACAAAACAAACAAAACACAACCUAGACCUUCCAACAUUUGCCUCAGGGAUUUGAAUGAAACAUGACAUGUUAAAAAUCAUCAUUCCCAUAGAUUUUGGUCAUCUUUACACUUGAGCACAUACUUAAUCACAAUCACCACUUACUAGUUCACAAUUAACCAAUUAAAACGAUGUUUUGAAUGUAGUAACAUGCCUUAGAGAAUUUGCUCAAUUUCUUACAAGAUACUCUCUAUUUUCACACACAUUUUUUGACUACACACCCUAGACUAGUAUAUGUGAGAAGAUUAAUGUAAACACGAAAGACUAGGAUUCACAUAUGUCAUAACAAAGAAAGCAAUUUUCUGGAGUUAUUAAGCAUGUUUAGAUAUGAUCUCAUGAAUUGAAUGCUACUACUUAGAUGUGAGAACCAGUGACACCAUAUGCUCGUACCAAUUUCGAACUCCACAAAUUGAAACACACAACACUUAAGAUUGAAGUCAAGGGUUGUAACAGGGCUUGGGGGUAAUGACUAAUAAAGAAAGGAUAGGGAUAACAAACGUUCUUAAAGCGAUAGCAAGCAAAGCAAUGAAAUAGACACUUGGAAUUCACUUUAGAAUGCAUAAUCAACUUUUAAAUACAAAGGGAAGAUUCAUGCAACACUUAGGGCCGAAUUCAAUGAUUUGGACCCUUUUUUAACAAACAACACUUUAGAGCUCUUUUUCAUACUCUUUUCAAUUCUUUUUUCUUUUCUACUCUUUUUUUUCUUUUCUACCCGUGCUUUAUUAAGGGCUUUGGCACACACAUAUACACAAGAAUCACUUCCCCCACACUUGCUUUCUGCAAUACAUUGAUAAAAAAACAGUUCAUUUUAAGUCAUGCUUUACUAUGCUUCAAGAACAAGGGUAUGGAUGGUCCUAAAACUAGGCUAGGUAAGGAUAGUGUGGAUUAACAAAGAACAUAGGCUUAACAAGGCUCAACGGGGUUAAACUUAAACACAUAAUGAAAUAGGGGCACGUUAAUUUGGCUUUGGUGGUCACUACACAACUUCAUCUUGAAUAUGUGUUAUGCAAAUCAAUAGCAUGCUUUGGAACUAAAUGAAACGCCUUCUAAGUAGCAACCAAAUGAUGAAACGCCUUCUAAGUAGCAACCAAGAAAAGAAUAAUGAGAUCAUGCAACGACUUUAGAAAACAAUGAUGCACAUAUUAUUAGCUUUCCAAAUAAACGUUUAGGCUCAAGUCUCAUAAGGUUGUAGCGUUCAUUUGAGUUCCUUCUUUCAAGCAUGUUACAAAAAUUGAUUUUUCGUUUAUGAUUGCAUGUGAAUUCAUAAAUCACAACCAAGCAUACACCAAAGAGUAAAUCAAAUUUUCAUCCAUGUUUAUAACUCUUUUUAACAGUCAUGUAAUUAAAAACCAAAUCCUCAUCAUUGUGUUGGAAGGUAUCCUAAGACACAAAUAAACACACAAAAACAACUCUUUUUGGGUUUUUCAAAACAAUUUUUCAAAUUUUUAUGAGAUUUUUGGAUUUUUAUGUCAAAACACACUAAAACAAUCCAAAACAGCUUAAAAACACUUAAAACAGCAAGGAACAACACUAGAAGUAAUGGGUGAUAAACUCCUACGAAUUUUAUGCAAAACAACUUGGUUACCCCCCACACUUAAAACAUUGUCCUCAAUGUUUCAAGCAUAAACUCACACAAAAACAAGCAAACAAACAAACAACGAAUAAACAUGACAAGUAUGGAAAAGUAAAAACCAGACAUAGUAGAGUUUAAGAACGCAAAUCUGGUUUUGGAGAUAGAUGAUCUUGUUGACUUUCCACAGCUUUGAUCUUGAACUGGUUUGGAAUUCUGAGCAAGGAAUACGAGAGUUCCUUGGUUUCAAAUCAGACUCUUUAUGCUGGGUUGAUUUGAUUGUGCAGUCUGCAUUCUUCUCUGCUUGUUUCUUCUGCACGGCAGGCAGGCAAGAGGUAGAGGUGAUGGUCUGUUUCCUUUUUCAAUCUUUCCAAGUGCCAACCAUUUGCUUUCUUUCUCCUUGUCCCUAGUUGAGGAUGAAUUAGCACAUUGUCUCCACAUGCUUCGAGGUAUCAUUUUUACUUCCCUUAUCUGUUCUCCAGGCAGAUAUGGUAGCUUUUGAGGAAGCAUAAGAUGUUGAAAAUGAGUACCCGAGAGCAAGGCUAGGUAAGCAAUCAGGAAGGGGUUCCAGGCAGUCGGUUCCAGAUCGGAAUAUUGAUACCAAGUGCUGGCUGAUUGCUUUCUUUCUUCUUGUCCCGCAAGUGAAAACAACGAUAAGGAGAAGGACAGGGAGAAAGCAUGAUAUGAGAUACUUUUGCUUUCAACCUUCAUGAUAUGAAAUACUUUUGCUUUUGAUGAGUUGUUUGCAGAGGUACCCCAAGGAAUAAGGAACACUGAGUGACUCGAGAAGCUUUGUUGGGAAGGCAUUCUCGGAGAUGAAGAUAUGUCUGCCUUGCUAUGGAGGGUGAAGGUCGACAUUUAUAUGAAUUAAUAACCGGUACUAUUCUUUCACUCUUGUCGGCAACCGUUGGAUGAUUGAACAGUAAACUUCACGUGCUUUCUACGUCACCAGAAAUCUUCGACAGAUUGCCCGUAAUUUCCGCAAGGCUGAGUGUGCAUGUGACAGAUGCUGACACGUCUGGAAAAGCAGGUGCCUCUUCGAUAUCUGAAAUCGGCGCUUCGACAAAUUGCCCAUGAUUUUUGCAAAGCUGAGUGUGCAUGUGACAGAUGCUGACACGUUUGGAAAAGCAAAUGCCUAUCCGAUUUCUGAGCUUGCCUAUUUGAUUUCUGAGCUCCGUCGAGUGCAGAGGUUGUAUGUGACAAGUGUGGACAAAUCCAGAAAAGAGGAUGGCCCGUGGUUUCUGAGCAAGCCCAACUUUUGAGAAAGCUAACGCCUCUUCGAUUUUUGAAUUGGCCUCUUCGAUUUCUGAGCUCACCUCUUCGAUCUCUGAAAUCCCGUCGAAUGCUGAUUUUUAUAGAAGCACGCAGUUCGUUUCAAAGCACACUUGAAUUUCCGCCUGUAGAAACUCCCUUCAUUGCGCUUCUAAGAUCUCGAUUUGUCUGACCUCUUCUUUCUUCAACACCUUUGAAAAUGUCUGACCCCAUCGAUGAUCGUUUUGACUUGAACCUUUGUGAAGAGGCAUCCAUGCCUUCUCCAGACAACAUAUGGCGCCCAUCCUUCAUAUCCUCUACUAGUCCUCUUACCGUUGGGGAUUCAGUGAUGAAGAAUGAUAUGACCGCUGCGGUGGUGGCCCGGAACCUUGUCACUCCCAAAGAUAACAGAUUACUUUCCAAACGGUCUGAUGAGUUGGCUGUUAAGGAUUCUCUGGCUUUCAGUGUGCAGUGUGCAGGUUCUGUGUCUAAUAUGGCCCAACGUCUAUUUGCUCGAACCCGUCAAGUUGAAUCAUUGGCGGCUGAAGUGAUAAGUCUCAAACAGGAGAUUAGAGGGCUCAAGCAUAAGAAUAAACAGUUGCAAGGCUUGCACAUAACUAUGCUACAAACAUGAAGAGGAAGAUUGACCAGAUGCAGGAAUCUGAUGGUCAGAUUUUACUUGAUCAUCAGAGGUUUGUGGGUUGUUCCAACAGCAUUUGCCUUCGUCUUCUGGGGCUGUACCGCGUAAUGAAGCUCCAAAUGAUCAACCUCCGAUACCUCCUCCUUCUGUGGCUCCGCCGACUGCUGAGGCUCCACCGACUACUAAGACUUCUCCUAAGCAACCUUUGUGAAGGCUCCCUCUUGUAUUUUUUUGCCUCCUGUUCAUUUUCAACGAAUUUUAAUGUAAAAAUACCUUGCAUAUCUGUCAAUGUUUCAAAAAUAAACCCACACCAAAAACAAUUAAAUAAGGAACAAAUAAAAAUGACAAUCAUGGCAAAAUAAAACUGCAGAAAAGGGAAGGUUUUUAGGAAUGCAAAACAUGGGUUGCCUCAAGCGCUUGCUUUAACGUCUUGCAGCUGGACGAAACUUCCUUUUAAGCUUGGAUAGGGCCCACGGCACUGAGUGGGAUUUCUUCCACAAUCUGCCCCACAUCACUCUCAUAGUAUAGCUUCAGACGAUGCCCGUUCACUUUGAAUUCGUCGCCGUUCCUUAAGCUUUUAACUUGGACUGCACCAUGGGGAAAAACAUUAGUGACAACAAAUGGCCCAAUCCACUUAGACCGUAACUUACCAGCGAGCAAUCGUAGACGGGAAUUGAAUAGUAGCACUUUCUGUCCAAUUGAGAAUGUUUUUCCCCGAAUCAUUUUGUCAUGAAACGCCUUUGUUUUCUCCUUGUAAAUUCGCGCAUUCGCAUAGGCUUCAUUCCGUAUCUCCUCAAGUUCAUUCAGUUGGAGCUUCCUAUUCAUUCCAGCAGCAUAUAAGUCCAAAUUGAAUGUUUUCACAGCCCAGUGCGCUUUGUGCUCCAGUUCCACAGGUAGGUGACACGGCUUGCCGUAGAUUAGUCGAAAUGGAGACAUCCCUAGAGGUGUUUUGUAGGCAGUGCGAUAUGCCCACAGUGCAUCAUCUAAACGCAAGCUCCAAUCCUUUUGGUUUGGCCCAACAGUCUUCUCCAAGAUUUGCUUGAUUUCUCUAUUCGAGACUUCGGCUUGGCCACUUGUUUGAGGGUAGUAUGGCGUGGAAACCCGAUGCUUCACAUUGUACUUUUUAAACAGCGCCUCAAUGGUGCGAUUGCAAAAAUGGGAGCCUCCAUCGCUUAUGAACACCCUUGGCAUGCUAAAUCUGGAAAAGAUGUUAGCCUUGAUAAAAUCUGCCACCACUCUAGAAUCGUUUGUACGGGUGCUUUUGGCUUCCACCCAUUUUGACACAUAAUCAACGGCUAGCAAAAUAUAAGUAAAACCAUAUGAGGGCAGAAAGGGUCCCAUGAAAUCCAUACCCCAUACAUCAAAGAUCUCCACAUUAAAGAUAGGGGUUUGCGGCAUUUGGUCCUUGGCACCUAUUGUACAUGUUCUUUGGCAUCUAUCACAAGUUAUAGGAAAUGUUCUAGCAUCCUUAAACAAUGUAGGCCAAUAGAAACCACUCUCUAAAACCUUAAGGGCUGCCCUUUGGGUGCCAAAAUGACCCCCACAUGCAUAACUGUGGCAGAAUGCAAGAAUUGAAUUAAACUCGGAAUUGUGCACACAUCUACGAAUAAUCUGGUCAGGACAAUACUUCCACAAAUAUGGAUCAUCCCACAUAUAAAAUCGUGCAUCAUUUCUGAGUUUAUCAUGCUUGUAUUUAUCUAGAGUGCUAGGAACUUGUUUUGUGACAAAAUAAUUGACCAAAUCAGCAUACCAGGGCUUACUUACCUCUAGGGAUAGCAAUUGCUCGUCAAGGAAGGUCUCUAGAAUGGGUAAGGAGUCAUCCUCGUGCACCAAACGGCUGAGGUGGUCAGCCACCACGUUUUCACUCCCCUUUUUGUCUCUUAUUUCAAUAUUGAACUCUUGAAGUAGGAGCAUCCAAAGAAUCAGCCUUGGUUUGGCCUUUUUCUUGGUGAAAAGAUACUUCAACACUGCAUGGUCAAAAUAUACAAUCACUUUAGUGCCAAGUAAGUAUGAACGAAAUUUAUCUAAAGCAAAUACAACUGCAAGAAGUUCUUUCUCAGUGGUAGAAUAAUUCAAUUGAGCAUCAUUUAGGGUCCAGGAAGCGUAAUGGAUGACGUGGGGCUGUUUGUUCCUCCUUUGGCCUAAAACAGCACCAAUGGCAUAAUCGGAUGCAUCACACAUUAGCUCAAAUGGAAGUCUCCAAUCUGGUGGCAUGAUGAUGGGGGUCGAAGUCAACAUGUCCUUGAGGGUUUUGAAAGUGGUCUCACACUCCUUGUUGAACUCGAAGGCUACUUCCUUUUGGAGUAAACGACAAAAGGGUUGGGCGAUUUUUGAGAAAUCCUUGAUGAAUCUCCUAUAAAAUCCUGCAUGGCCAAGAAAAGAACGAACCUCCUUCACCGAAGUGGGAGAGGGUAAGUGACGUACAAGAUCUAUUUUAGAUUUAUCAACCUCAAUCCCUUUUUCUGAUAUGAUAUGCCCCCAAAACUAUACUUUGUUUUACCAUAAAAUGGCACUUUUCCCAAUUCAAGACAAGAUUAGUUUCGAUGCAUCGUUGUAAGAUUAGAGUAAGAUUAUUCAAGCAUGCAUCAAAUGAGUCACCAAAAACACUAAAGUCAUCCAUAAACACUUCAAUGAUCUUUUCCACAAAUUCUAAGAAAAUACUUACGAUACACAUUUGGAAUGUGGCCGGUGCGUUGCAUAGCCCAAAUGGCAUGCGUCGAUAAGCAAAGGUACCAAAGGGACAUGUGAGGGUAGUCUUUUCUUGGUCAUCGGGAGCUAUCACAAUCUGAUUAUAACCCGAAUAGCCAUCAAGAAAAUAAUAAAAUGAAUGACUGGAUAACCUUUCCAGCAUUUGAUCAAUAAAGGGCAGCGGGAAGUGAUCUUUUCUUGUCGUAGCGUUGAGCUUCCGAUAGUCAAUACAAACUCUCCAUCCAGUUUGGAUUCGGGUGGGCACAAGCUCAUUAUCUUCAUUUUUUACCACAGUGACUCCGGACUUUUUAGGAACAGCUUGAAUCGGCGAGGCUUAAUGGCUAUCAGAAAUUAGGUAACUCACUCCACAAUCUAAUAGCUUGAUGAUUUCCUUCUUCACAACAUCCAUUAUGGGUGGAUUGAGUUGGCGUUGUGCUUCUCUAGAUGGUUUGGCUCAUUCUUCCAAGAGUAUUCGAUGGAUGCAAGUGGUAGGGCUAAUUCCUUUGAUAUCAGCUAAUGUCGACCCAAUGGUAGUUUUGUAUUCCCGAAGCACCCUCACCAACUUGUCCUCCUCUUGUGCAGUGAGUGAAGAAGAGAUGAUGAUGGGCAGCGUCUCUUGUUCUCCCAUAAACACAUAUUUCAAAUGGCUAGGCAAUGGUUUAAGCUCUAGGGAAGGGGGCUGGAUUACAGAAUGAAGCAACUUGUUAGUCGAAAUGGGAAUUGAAAUUAGGUUAGGAGACUUACCAAUAUGUCUUGGAUUUGACUCUAGGGCAGUAACCAUCUCCACCAAUUCUUCUUGAAUAGGCACGGCAAGAUGUUCCUUGUUGUUGUCGUGUGCAUGCCUAAGUGCUAACCCUUCGUUUUUGAGUCCAAUGCUUUGCGUGAGAGUCUUUUCAAGUGCAUCCUCACUCAAAUCAUCAAGGAAUUCCUGCGCCUAAGAGUCAAUCACAUCAAUAGAGAAACAAGAGUGACCAUCAUGUGGAUAUCUCAUAGCAUCAGAAAUAUUGAAAUCAAUAACUUCCCCAUCAAAUUCCAUGGUCAAUGUUCCCUUCAAUACAUCUAUCUUUGUACGGGCAGUCUUCAUGAAUGGUCGGCCAAGUAAUAUUGGCAAUUGAGGGGAAUGGUUCGAGUCUUCCAUUUCAAGCACGAAGAAGUCCGCCGGAAAGACUAGGUGAUUCACCUGCACUAAAACAUCCUCCAAAACACCUUUUGGAUACGCAUUAGAUCUAUCGGCCAGUUGAAUGAUCACUACAUCAUUUUUUAAUUCUCCCAAGUUCAUAGAUGCAUAUAUUGAAUAAGGCAUGACAUUUAUUGAUGCACCUAGAUCUAACAUGGCAUAUUCAAAGCGAGUAUUUCCUAUAACACAAGGAAUUGUAAAAUUGCCGGGAUCUUUGCAUUUAGGAGGUAAUUUUCGUUGCAACACAGUUGAGACAUUAUCACUUACCCUUACCACCUCUUUGUUCGAAGCCCUCUUCCUUGUAGUGCACAGCUCCUUCAGGAACUUAGCAUACUUGGGGACUUGUUUAAUUGCAUCUAGAAGUGGAAUGUUGACUUGGACCUUUCUAAAUGUGUCCAGGAUGUCUUUGUCACUCUCAUACUUCUUUGAUUGCAUAAACCUGCGAGGAAGGGGGCAUUGGGUGGAAUGGAAUUAAAAGUCAUGGAAUUUGAACCCAACUUACCUUUGGUGGUCGAAUUAGGGUGUGAAGGUGGCUGCGGCAAUGAUUACUCAAUCCUUGCCGAGGGCUGGCCUUGUUCUUUCUCCUCAGAUUGCAUCUUUUCGUCCUCAUUUUGAUUGGAUUUAGAUGGGCUGGGAUCAGAUCCAACUUCUUUUCCACUUUGCAAGGUGAUGGCUUUGGCAGAUUCGAAGCCUCCCUUUGGAUUCACAUCCGUCAAACUAGGUAACUUACCUUAUUGUCUACUAAAUUGCCCCAUGAACUCAGCCAUUUGUCCCAUUUGUCUCUUCAAUUCAGUUACCUCUUGAGCUUGAUUUUGCACUUCCUUGGUGUAAUUGUGCAUUAUCUUUGGCUUGAUUUUCCUGACCUUUUGCCAACGUAGUUAGUAACUGAAUAACUUGAGCAUUAUCAAAAGACGAACAUGAGUUAUUUUGGGUAGGUUGUGUUUGGGGUUGUGCGGGUGCAUACGACCUUUGAUAGAAGCCCGGAGGUUGCUGGCUGAAUGCACUUUGUUGUUGGGUUUGUUGGGGCUCCCUCCAUUUGAAAUUUGGAUGAUAUUUCCAGCCUAGAUUGUGUGUAUUCGAGAACGGAUCAUUCAUUGGUUGGUUUUGACUCCCAAAAUCCAUGGCGUUGGCAGAUUCCCACCCUUUGUUCUCGAUCAAUUGAGGGCACUUAUCCGUUAGAUGUCCAUUCAUUGAGCACACGCCACAAGCAGCUACACUUUGUUCUUUUGGUUUUUCAACCACUUGUGAAAGAAGAGUAGUAAGAUUAGCCAUUUGAUUUUGAAGUUCGGAAAUAGCACUUACCUCAUUAACUUGUUGUUGCCGUGGGUUGUCUCUCUGACCAACGCCUUUAUAUUGUUGAGCAUUUAAUGCUCAGUUAGCAAUUAAGGUAUUCGCAACCAUGGGUGUUUUGUCCACCAAAGCUCCUCCCACUGAGGCAUCUAGCAUUUGUCGUUCAAUUGGUAGAAGCCCUUCGUAAAAAUAUUGAAAAAGAAACUCCUCCUUCAUCUGGUGCUGUGGACAUAAAGCAGCAAGGGUUUUAAAGUGCUCAUAGUAAGUGGGAAAGGAUUCACCUUGGUUUUGCUGAAUGCCACUAAUCCUUUUACGUAGUAGAAUUGUUGGAAAUAUGCCCUGAAAGUCAAUCUUUGGAAGAAACCUUUCAGGACAAUAAAUGGAUGUAUAGAUGACUCUUAUACAUCAAAUGGCAAAGAUACUAUUUAGGACUAUCUCUAUAAACGAUAUAUGUCCUAAAUGGUGAAUCCAUGGACAAUGGAGCGAUUGGAGAAGUAAUCUAAUGAAGUUAGACUACAGAGACCUUCUUCACAUAACCAUCAUGUCCAAAAGGUUCCUGGUCAUAGGAUUGUCGGAGGGAUACUGACAAUGCAUAGACCGGUACAUACUAUGUCCGCUUCAAUUAGAAGGAUGGAAAGUCUCACCCCAUUCGUGUAGUGACACUAAGACAAGUAUGUAGGUGCUCAUUAAGGGAAUGAGUUCACUGAACUCAAUCGAACGAGAGUACUUGCAUGGAGGUUUACACACAUGUCAAGCAAGUAACUCCAAUAGUUGGAAUAAUGUAAGUAGUCCUUUGACCUGAGGCAUCAUCGUUGUCUUGUGGUUAAGUACUUGAUCUUUGAUUAUGUCAAAGUCACUUCAUUCGCGGGUGUCCACGGCAUAGUCAGGGUUAAGCCACUUAGUCAUGAAGGCAAGUGAAUGUGCAACAAGGAAUCUCUAAUCCUCGUUAAGAGAGGAUGAAUACUCUAAGAUAUGAUUCUGGAAUCUUCGGCCGAAGUAUCGAGCGUAAUAAAGGAAAGCGUUCCUAUACGACUCAAUUGAAUCAUAUAAGAAGGAAUAAUCACAUUAGGGGUUUGACAUAAUAUAUCCAUACCCUAGUGAUGUGAUUGAGAGUAUUGUUUUAGAGAAGGAUCGAAUUACAUUGUAAUUCCAACUGAAUAGGUUCUCCGAACAACUUCUACAUUAGCUUGGGUAGCCAUGAUAUAUGGUUAGAUGUCACUCAUGGCUUGUGAGUUCUUCUAGAUGAUUAAAUGUAGUCAUCAAAGAAGAAGGUGAAUUAAAAGUAAGUUUUUAAUUCACUAAGUGAUUGGAUUAAAUAUAAUCAAUUGGAUUGGAGCCAAUCACCUCACUGCCUUGCUAAUUAGAACCUAAAACGAUUGUUCACCAAUACACUCUUGUAGUGAGUAACUAAUGGAUGAUGGAAAUAAUUAAUUGGAUUAAUUAAGUGUUGUGAUUAAUUAGAAAGUCUAAAGAAAUCAUAAAAGCGAUAUAAGAUCGUUUUGGGCUUAAAGAAACAUUCGGGUUUAAUUGGGCCCAUUGGGCCUAAACCCAUUGGCCUUUUAUUCAAGCAUUGGAUGACUUGAAAUAAAUAAAAGCCCAAAGCCCAAACAACACAAAGGGGCUGCCAAAGGAGGGAGAGAAAGGUCAAAUGUUGAUUUGUUUCUUUUUGGCUAUAAAAGGAACUUUAUAGCAAAUGUUUCAUUAGGGUUUUUUGAAGUGUUAAAAGAACAAAAGAGAAAAAGAAAAAUAUCUCUCUAACACUCAAAGGGCCGGCCACCAUAGGGGGAUUUAGCUAAUCAUCUUUUCACCCCUUUGGUUAUUCAUUCAUCCUUCUCAGUACACUAGUGGGUGAGGAUCUUUAGAGGUUUUCAAUUUUGGAAACUUGAAGAGAACCUAGGAGCACUCAUUCUAAACAAAGUGGAAGAGGCAAGGAAGGAGGCUAGGCUUAAGGAGUUCAAGGAGCAAAGGGCUUGGAGGUGGUCCAUCCUUGGUCUAAGAUCUAGAUCAAGAGGUAUAAAACUACUCCUAAACUUUGUUCUUAUAUAAAUUUGUUUUUGAUGCAUCUUACACAAACCUAUGCAUCUUGAAGGGGGUUUACAUGACUAUUGCAUUGAUAUUAUUUGAUAACAUGCUUCCGUUGCUUUCGUAUAUAAAUUUUGAAUUGUAUAUGCAUGCUAGUCACUAGAAAUCCCACAUGAAUCUCAUAGUAUUCCCUUCAAGAAUGACUCGAGAAGUUGGGAAAAACUUCUCCAAAAAUGCCCGUUUCAUACUCUCCCAUGAUAUGACAGUUUCGGGGGCUAGCUUAUACAACCAAUCUUUAGCCUUUUCCAAGAGAGAAAAGGGAAAAGCCUUCAUUUUCAUAAUGCUCUCAUCAACAUUCACAGGGGUCAUGCUCGAACAAACAACCUCGAACUCCUUCAAAUGUUUAUUAGGAUCUUCCAUGGACAACCCAUGGAACUUAGGAAUAUGGUGCAAUAAGCUGGACUUUAAUUCAAACUCGUCGGUCUUGUUUUGGGCCGCCCUUCGAUAUUGAAUGCAUAAAGGCAGAGCAUUGUCCAAUCCUGAAGCGGAAAGCUCCUUGAUUGUUCGAUUGUCUACUGCCAUUUCUUGGACUUCUUUAAAAGACCUUGUCGUGGCCUCCUCUUGCUCUUCUACUUUGUCUUCUUCAAGAUCGGGUGCAGGUUGAGAUGGUUGGGUUUCUUGUUGAUUCCUUGCUCAUCUCAAAGUUCAUUCAAAAUCGUCGUCAAAGUCAAGGAUGUGCUUAUGAAUAGGUUGAGAACUUCGAGUCAUAAACCACCUAAAACAAGAAAACAAGUAAAAUCAGCAACUACGAACAAAAACACGUGAAAAUAAAAAAAAAAGAAAUAACAAAGGAUUAGCAAAGUUGCUAAUCCCCGAAAACGGCGCCAAAAAUUUGAUGCGAAAAUUAACUUAACACACAAAUUUGACCCUCUUUUGACAAUUGUAGUAUAAGUAUAAGUAGGGAUCGUUCUAGACCAGGGAUUAGGAGGGCUUGCUAAUAAUCUCUAAACUGACUCAAACACAUAAAACUAAACUUAAAAACAUUUAACAAGAUUCACAAGACUCAAAACAAACUUAAAAUAAUCAAAACAGCUCAAAACAACCAAAUAAACUUAAAAACACAAACUAAAAACACUUAAAAACACAAACUAGAACAGAUUUGAAACACUUUGAAACAAGAAACUAAAAGGGGGUUUUGAUUUGGAUGAAGUUGUAACAAACAAACAAGUAUGAAAAUCUAGACAAAUUGUAAAACGAAUGUGAGAAAUAAGAUCAUGGAUGGGAUAGCUAGAAGCUUUUUAUCCACACAUGACAUGUAUGCAAAUAAUUCGAUUUCCAGUUACUAAUUCAUUUAAUUAUGAACGACAAUGCUCCAAAUUAACUGUGACAUCACUAGUUAACUCUCAGAUUUUCCUUAUUUUAUUGGAUUGGAUGACAUCAUUCGACAUCCCAAAACAUUCUUCAAAAGUUCCCUACAUGACAUCAUAAUAGAGAUACAAUCAAAGAUCAUUACGUUUAAUGAAAAUCAUAAGCAUUGACAAAGAACUUGCAACUAUGACAUCAUGUCACUCAUGCUAGGAAUUGAACUCAACGCGAUCGUUUAUAAGCGACCUUCACUACAUGUGAAUAUAAGUUUGUAACGAUUAUGUGAAACUUCCUUAUACUCUAGCAAAGGAUUUAUGCAUGCCAAUUAAGUGUCGACCCUUAAUUAACAAAUACAAAUAAGUUAUCAAUCAAAUAGUUAAGCCAAUUGCAUUCACGAUUCAAGAGUUCAUAACUGGAAUUUAUCAAAUCAUAUUACACACAUAAUCAUGGCUUUGAAAUCACCCCUAACUAAGAGUGGUUUAGCCACUCAUAUUCACAACAAAACGAAAGAAAAUGAAUUUAAACAUUGGAAACAAAAGAAAGAAAACACCUAAACGCUCCAACGAUCCAAGUUGGACAGCAAGCACGUCCAAGCACUUUCCUUCCCUUCCUUUGCUACGGCACAAGGUGUUGGUGAGUGUUUAAAGGUUUGUUUGUAUGGAGGAAUGGAUGUGAAGAUGAAAUGGAUGUGUUUGGAUGAAGGUUGUAUUGAAAUGGGGAUGAAUGAUCAAGCAAAAACUAAACUAUAUGGCUGCCACACACACUUCCUUUUAUAGAGGAAGUGCACGGCAAGGAGGGGAAAAAUGAUGGUGUGUGCAAUGAUUCAAGGGUUAAAAUGAAGUAAUGAUGCAAAGCAUGGGGGGUAAAAUGAAGUGGUGUUGCAGCAAUGAGUGCAUCGAGUGGUGUUUGAAAUGAUUCAAAGGUGAAAGUGAGUGAUGAUUCAAAGCAUGGGGGGUAAAAUGGAGUGGUGUUGCAGCUAUGAAUGCUAGUAGGGAACAUGAAUGAUUGUGCACAUGGUAGAGAAAGGAAAGGGAGGUGGAAUGGUGCAGAAAUGAGUCAAAGGUGCAGCAAGACAAAUGAUGCACGACAUGAGAUUCCAAAUGUGGUGGAUGGUGCAUCAAUGAGUGCAUGUAAUGGAGGUAAAAGUUGUAUGAAAUCUAAUGGGUGAAGGGGACAAGAAUUGUGCAACAAUUGAGUGCAAUGAUUCAAUAUUUUGAUGCAUGAAAUCAGAAAUAAUGAAGGAGACAAGGGUAGUGCACGGCAUGAGUGGAUAAUGAGUGUAAUGGUGUAUGAAAUGAGUGCAAGAAAUCUGGUGCAUGAAGGGGACAAGGGUGAUUAUGCAUGGCAUGGGUGGAAAGUUGAGUAAGUGGUGAAUCAAUGAGUGCAAGGAGGUGAAAGGAUAUUGUGCACAUGGUAGACAAAGGAAAGGAAGUGGAAUGGUGCAGCAAAUGAGUGGAAGGAGGGAACAUUGAUGAAUGUGCACGACAUGGAGAUUUAUGGCAGAAAAUAGGAAAGGAAUGGCUCCCUUGCACGGCAAGGAAGAUAAAUGAUGAAGGAUGGUAUGGCUUGGACUUUUAGGGCAGGUUUAGGACUUGUAGAAUAU